GAGUUUUGAUCAUGGCUCAGGAUGAACGCUAGCUACAGGCUUAACACAUGCAAGUCGAGGGGCAGCAUGGUCUUAGCUUGCUAAGGCCGAUGGCGACCGGCGCACGGGUGAGUAACGCGUAUCCAACCUGCCUUACACUCUUGGACAGCCUUCUGAAAGGGAGAUUAAUACAAGAUGUUAUCAUGAGUAAGCAUUUUCACAUGAUUAAAGGUUUACCGGUGUAAGAUGGGGAUGCGUUCCAUUAGAUAGUAGGCGGGGUAACGGCCCACCUAGUCUUCGAUGGAUAGGGGUUCUGAGAGGAACGGUCCCCCACAUUGGAACUGAGACACGGUACCAACUCCUACGGGAGGCAGCA
Molecule: ribosomal RNA, 355 nt
Filed under: uncultured bacterium
Lineage: Bacteria
Description: bacterial SSU rRNA
Rfam family: Bacterial small subunit ribosomal RNA
Source: RNAcentral